GACAGAGGGCGCAAACGUUGUUCGGAAUUACUGGGCGUAAAGCGCGUGUAGGCUGCUUCGCAAGUCGGAUGUGAAAGCCCUGGGCUCAACCCAGGAAGUGCAUUCGAAACUGCAGAGCUGGAGUCCUGGAGAGGAAGGCGGAAUUCUCGGUGUAGAGGUGAAAUUCGUAGAUAUCGAGAGGAACACCGGUGGCGAAGGCGGCCUUCUGGACAGUGACUGACGCUGAGACGCGAAAGCGUGGGGAGCAAACAGG
RNAcentral lists this ribosomal RNA (253 nucleotides) under uncultured bacterium. Its description in RNAcentral is "partial 16S ribosomal RNA". It matches the Rfam family "Bacterial small subunit ribosomal RNA", at positions 524 to 776 of the family's 1533-position model. The record is from RNAcentral.